RNAcentral lists this unclassified non-coding RNA (190 nucleotides) under uncultured Cladophialophora. Its description in RNAcentral is "sequence contains ITS1". Lineage: Eukaryota; Fungi; Ascomycota; Eurotiomycetes; Chaetothyriales; Herpotrichiellaceae. The record is from RNAcentral.
ACGAGUUAGGGUCUUUCAGGCCCGACCUCCCAACCCUAUGUUUAUUGAACCUCUGUUGCUUCGGCGGACCCGUCUCACGACCGCCGGAGGACCGCUGCGAGGCGUCCUCUGGCCAGCGUCCGCCGGUGGCCAACCUCUCAAAACUCUUGAAAUGAAUCGUGUCAUAUCUAAGUCUCAUUAAAUUAAAGCA